UAGUAGCGGCGAGCGAAGCGGGAAGAGCUCAAAUUUAUAAUCUGGCACUUUCGGUGUCCGAGUUGUAAUCUCUAGAAAUGUUUUCCGCGUUGGACCGCACACAAGUCUGUUGGAAUACAGCGGCAUAGUGGUGAGACCCCCGUAUAUGGUGCGGACGCCCAGCGCUUUGUGAUACAUUUUCGAAGAGUCGAGUUGUUUGGGAAUGCAGCUCAAAUUGGGUGGUAAAUUCCAUCUAAAGCUAAAUAUUGGCGAGAGACCGAUAGCGAACAAGUACCGUGAGGGAAAGAUGAAAAGCACUUUGGAAAGAGAGUUAACAGUACGUGAAAUUGUUGGAAGGGAAACGCUUGAAGUCAGACUUGCUUGCCGAGCAAUCGGUUUGCAGGCCAGCAUCAGUUUUCCGGGAUGGAUAAUGGUAGAGAGAAGGUAGCAGUUUCGGCUGUGUUAUAGCUCUCUGCUGGAUACAUCUUGGGGGACUGAGGAACGCAGUGUGCCUUUGGCGGGGGUUUCGACCUCUUCACACUUAGGAUGCUGGUGGAAUGGCUUUAAACGACCCGUCUUGAAACACGGACCAAGGAGUCUAACAUGCUUGCGAGUAUUUGGGUGUCAAACCCGGAUGCGUAAUGAAAGUGAAUGGAGGUGGGAACCGCAAGGUGCACCAUCGACCGAUCUGGAUUUUUAAUGAUGGAUUUGAGUAAGAGCACGUAUGUUGGGACCCGAAAGAUGGUGAACUAUGCCUGAAUAGGGCGAAGCCAGAGGAAACUCUGGUGGAGGCUCGUAGCGGUUCUGACGUGCAAAUCGAUCGUCAAAUUUGGGUAUAGGGGCGAAAGAC
RNAcentral lists this ribosomal RNA (829 nucleotides) under Rhodotorula sp. RNAcentral describes it as "partial large subunit ribosomal RNA". It matches the Rfam family "Eukaryotic large subunit ribosomal RNA", at positions 81 to 931 of the family's 3401-position model. The record is from RNAcentral. Lineage: Eukaryota; Fungi; Basidiomycota; Microbotryomycetes; Sporidiobolales; Sporidiobolaceae.